AUGCUAGUGUCAAAAACGUUCUUAUAUUUUAGGACGGAGGGAGUAGAUCAAAAACCCUGGAAGUUGCUUAUUGAACACAAGUACCUGGCCAAUAAGCCUAACAUCUUUGCCUCCUCCUCCAACCAAAAAAUCUCUAGAUUCUGGAAAGGGUUGAAGUCUACUGUCCAUGCGGUGAAAUUUGGAUACGGGUGGAACAUUGGGGAUGGGAGCAAAACUAGAUUCUGGGAAGAUACUUGGUUUAGCACUUCCCCUCUAGCUGUCCAAUUUUGGCCUGUCUACUCGGUCUACAAUGAACAAAACAAAUGUGUGAAUGAGGUUUGGGAUGGUCAAUGCCUCAAACUCUCAUUCGGGAGGAACUUUAGUGACAAACUUAUGGAACAAUGGUUCCAGUUGGAGGAAAUUGCUAGAAGUAUUGUCCUUUCUGACGAGCCGGAUUCUCUGAUGUGGCAACUAGAAAACAAGGGGCAAUACUCAUCUAGCUCCCUCUAUCAUAUUAUCAAUUUUAGAGGGGUCCAGCCUAUUUUUGUACCAGCAUCUGGAAAUUGA
RNAcentral lists this ribosomal RNA (546 nucleotides) under Triticum aestivum (bread wheat). RNAcentral's name for it is "partial small subunit ribosomal RNA". Lineage: Eukaryota; Viridiplantae; Streptophyta; Magnoliopsida; Poales; Poaceae. The record is from RNAcentral.